Molecule: ribosomal RNA, 207 nt
Filed under: Escherichia coli
Lineage: Bacteria; Pseudomonadati; Pseudomonadota; Gammaproteobacteria; Enterobacterales; Enterobacteriaceae
Description: partial 16S ribosomal RNA
Rfam family: Bacterial small subunit ribosomal RNA
Source: RNAcentral
GCCCGAUGGAGGGGGAUAACUACUGGAAACGGUAGCUAAUACCGCAUAACGUCGCAAGACCAAAGAGGGGGACCUUCGGGCCUCUUGCCAUCGGAUGUGCCCAGAUGGGAUUAGCUAGUAGGUGGGGUAAAGGCUCACCUAGGCGACGAUCCCUAGCUGGUCUGAGAGGAUGACCAGCCACACUGGAACUGAGACACGGUCCAGACU